UGCCGGAUAGCUCAGUUGGUUAGAGUGUGGUGCUAAUAACGCUAAGCUUGUGGGUUCGACUCCCACUCUGGCCG
This is a transfer RNA of Trichinella nativa, 74 nucleotides long. It matches the Rfam family "tRNA". Rfam says of the family: Transfer RNA (tRNA) molecules are approximately 80 nucleotides in length. The record is from Rfam. Lineage: Eukaryota; Metazoa; Nematoda; Enoplea; Trichinellida; Trichinellidae.